GACGAACGCUGUCGGCGUGCUAAACACAUGCAAGUCGAACGGAAAGGCCCUGCUUUUGUGGGGUGCUCGAGUGGCGAACGGGUGAGUAACACGUGAGUAACCUGCCCUUGACUUUGGGAUAACUUCAGGAAACUGGGGCUAAUACCGGAUAGGAGCUCCUGCUGCAUGGUGGGGGUUGGAAAGUUUCGGCGGUUGGGGAUGGACUCGCGGCUUAUCAGCUUGUUGGUGGGGUAGUGGCUUACCAAGGCUUUGACGGGUAGCCGGCCUGAGAGGGUGACCGGCCACAUUGGGACUGAGAUACGGCCCAGACUCCUACGGGAGGCAGCAGUGGGGAAUAUUGCACAAUGGGCGGAAGCCUGAUGCAGCAACGCCGCGUGCGGGAUGACGGCCUUCGGGUUGUAAACCGCUUUCGCCUGUGACGAAGCGUGAGUGACGGUAAUGGGUAAAGAAGCACCGGCUAACUACGUGCCAGCAGCCGCGGUGAUACGUAGGGUGCGAGCGUUGUCCGGAUUUAUUGGGCGUAAAGGGCUCGUAGGUGGUUGAUCGCGUCGGAAGUGUAAUCUUGGGGCUUAACCCUGAGCGUGCUUUCGAUACGGGUUGACUUGAGGAAGGUAGGGGAGAAUGGAAUUCCUGGUGGAGCGGUGGAAUGCGCAGAUAUCAGGAGGAACACCAGUGGCGAAGGCGGUUCUCUGGGCCUUUCCUGACGCUGAGGAGCGAAAGCGUGGGGAGCGAACAGGCUUAGAUACCCUGGUAGUCCACGCUGUAAACGGUGGGUACUAGGUGUGGGGUCCAUUCCACGGGUUCCGUGCCGUAGCUAACGCUUUAAGUACCCCGCCUGGGGAGUACGGCCGCAAGGCUAAAACUCAAAGGAAUUGACGGGGCCCCGCACAAGCGGCGGAGCAUGCGGAUUAAUUCGAUGCAACGCGUAGAACCUUACCUGGGUUUGACAUGGAUCGGGAGUGCUCAGAGAUGGGUGUGCCUCUUUUGGGGUCGGUUCACAGGUGGUGCAUGGCUGUCGUCAGCUCGUGUCGUGAGAUGUUGGGUUAAGUCCCGCAACGAGCGCAACCCUUGUUCACUGUUGCCAGCACGUUAUGGUGGGGACUCAGUGGAGACCGCCGGGGUCAACUCGGAGGAAGGUGGGGAUGACGUCAAGUCAUCAUGCCCCUUAUGUCCAGGGCUUCACGCAUGCUACAAUGGCUGGUACAGAGAGUGGCGAGCCUGUGAGGGUGAGCGAAUCUCGGAAAGCCGGUCUCAGUUCGGAUUGGGGUCUGCAACUCGACCUCAUGAAGUCGGAGUCGCUAGUAAUCGCAGAUCAGCAACGCUGCGGUGAAUACGUUCCCGGGGCUU
Molecule: ribosomal RNA, 1347 nt
Filed under: uncultured bacterium
Lineage: Bacteria
Description: bacterial SSU rRNA
Rfam family: Bacterial small subunit ribosomal RNA
Source: RNAcentral